AAGAACAAAGGGAGAAAGAAUAGAAAAACUCUAAGGAGGAAAAAUUCAAGAGAAAUUCAUUGGAUUUUCGAAAAAUGAAGCGAUCGGAGGUGGUAAGCCCUCUGGUAAGGGUAAGGAUAUAGUAUCCGAGGACCAGGAGUAGGAGUACUCUCGUUAUUGUUCAGAGCAGUCUGUAAACAGUCGAUUUUGUCGAGGGUUU
This is a non-coding RNA of Theobroma cacao (cacao), 199 nucleotides long. Lineage: Eukaryota; Viridiplantae; Streptophyta; Magnoliopsida; Malvales; Malvaceae. The record is from RefSeq and is a predicted model, not a curated record.